GAUCCUGGCUCAGGAUGAACGCUAGCUACAGGCUUAACACAUGCAAGUCGAGGGGCAGCAUGAACUUAGCUUGCUAAGUUUGAUGGCGACCGGCGCACGGGUGAGUAACACGUAUCCGAACCUUCCCGUUACUCUGGGAUAGCCUUUCGAAAGAAAGAUUAAUACCGGAUAGUAUCGAGAGAUUGCAUGAUAACCCGAUUAAAGAUUACAUCGGUAACGGAUGGGGAUGCGUUCCAUUAGA
Molecule: ribosomal RNA, 241 nt
Filed under: uncultured bacterium
Lineage: Bacteria
Description: partial 16S ribosomal RNA
Rfam family: Bacterial small subunit ribosomal RNA
Source: RNAcentral